This 181-nucleotide ribosomal RNA is filed under the name Dociostaurus maroccanus. RNAcentral's name for it is "partial 18S ribosomal RNA". It matches the Rfam family "Eukaryotic small subunit ribosomal RNA", at positions 1656 to 1831 of the family's 1831-position model. Lineage: Eukaryota; Metazoa; Arthropoda; Insecta; Orthoptera; Acrididae. The record is from RNAcentral.
GCUUUUGUACACACCGCCCGUCGCUACUACCGAUUGAAUGAUUUAGUGAGGUCUUCGGACUGGUACGCGGCAUCGACUCUGUCGUUGCCGAUGCUACCGGAAAGAUGACCAAACUUGAUAAUUUAGGGGAAGUAAAAGUCGUAACAAUGUUUCCGUAGGUGAACCUGCGGAAGGAUCAUUA